UUCCCCUUUUCGAACGGAGGGGCGCGGGGGUGGGGGCUGCCGCGGAAGGUGCUGCAACGUGCGUUUCUUUUCUUCUUCUUCGAAAACCGACCCAGGCCAGCCGCUUAGAGCGCUCUUGUUUCGUCUAUCUUUGGUAUUUCGAAGAAGGGAGGAGAAACAUAGUGUCAUCAUGGCAACGCCGCGGAAGGAGGGAAACCACAUCAGCUGAAGCGCAUCAUGCUCACUUCCUGCGACUGCAGAGAGAGAGAGAGAGAGAGAGAGCGGUGCUUUUCAACAACUUUAAAUGGCGCCUGGGUUCUUUCUCUGAACACUGCUCCACGUACCGUUUACUCAGGUUUUAAAGGAAUUGGCAGCCCAUGUGAGAUAUAUAACAGUCAUGAAAGCAGGAGAGUGCAAUUGGAUGCCAGGCAGGUGGAGGGAAAUUCACAGCCAAAGGAAGGCCGAGAGUGAGUCCUGAUGCCUUGAUGCCAAACCCUUCUGCCCAACGCUGUCAGCCCAGCAAGAGGUCCAAGCAGACAUAGGCCCUGCAAACAGGUGAUGUUUCUGAGUUAUUCACAUAGGAGGACCUGGGAAAACACUAGAAGAAGCUAGAAUGAAAAACUGAAAGAGAAGCAGAGAUAAAGAAUACGAAGCAGCUGGGCUCUGAAGAUGGAGGCGCCAAAUGGGGUUAAAAGGCCACAACAUUCACUGCUCACGUUUGGCAACGUAGCGGCUCGGAGAGAAAAAUUGUCGACCCGGUGUUCUGGUCAAGGUCAUUGUAACUUUUUUGCGUGUGCUUUAUCUGGGAACGUUGCUGCUUUUAGUCCACGCUAAAGCCUCGGUGGAAGAUUUCCGUAAAAUUUUUACCGGGACGUGAUCUGGCAAAUUGGUAAAAAAAACGUCUUACGUGGAAAAUCUACUCCUGCUUCCGUUCACACGCGGUGCUGACAUGGAAAAUGUGCUGGAACAUUAACAGGUUAACCUCCUCUGGAAAGUACAACUGCACUGUCUGACAAGCUCAUUCUUAACCUUGCCCAUGAGGUCAUGGACGACCCCUCCCAUCCAUUAUUCGACCGUUACGGACUGUUGCCAUAAGGACGAAGACACCAGACGCCAUCAACACAAAAACAGAAAGAGCACUCACCUCCUUCAUUCCUAAGAGUGUCACUCUCUUGAACAAAUGUCUCCCAGUGCAAUGUCCCUAAUGUGAAUGCUGGUUCUACCUUUGUGCAUUUCAGUUUGUAUCUCUUUAUUUCCCUCGUAUGCUUUCAUGUAUGACUUGUUUGUGAUUACUGUCUGUUAUUGUGACUUUGUUAUGUGUUUAUUGUAUCGCUCAUUGUGUGCAAGCAAAAUUCCCUUCGGGGCAAUAAAGGUUUUCAUUUAUUAAGAAGCACGUGUUGCUACUGGGGGCUACUGAGACGGUGCUGUCUGUAAAAUGCAAACAGAUGCAUCUAAUGUGAAAUUUUCCCAAGGCACUUUUUACCCCCACACCUCCCCCAAAUCCUUGAUCUUUCCUUGCCUCAUUGUGUGUUGCUCUCAAAGUGGGGCCGUGACUAAAUUAAUCCCAUUAGUGGGGAUCUCAUUUUCAUUUUACGAAAAGAAGGUUAGAAUUAAGGGACAAUUACCAGUCGCAAACAAAGCACUGAGCCAAUACGGUCACUAUUCAUUUCCUUAUCUGAGUGCUGUUUUGCGAUCUCUGGGCCCAAAAGUGACUUCAUUAAUCUGAAACUUCACAUUCUGUCCAUUCAUUCCAGUGGCAGAGAUGAGUCAGACCGAACUGUUUACC
Long non-coding RNA from Anguilla anguilla (European eel), 1765 nucleotides. RefSeq lists it as uncharacterized. Lineage: Eukaryota; Metazoa; Chordata; Actinopteri; Anguilliformes; Anguillidae. The record is from RefSeq and is a predicted model, not a curated record. The transcript has 3 exons.